CCUGGCGGCGAUGCGCCGGGGGGGCACACCCGUACCCAUCCCGCACACGGCAGUGAAGGCCCCGGCGGCCGACGGUACUGGGCCGGAGACGGCACGGGAGAGCAGGAGGCCGCCAGGA
RNAcentral lists this ribosomal RNA (118 nucleotides) under Clostridium sp. The record is from RNAcentral. Lineage: Bacteria; Bacillati; Bacillota; Clostridia; Eubacteriales; Clostridiaceae.